Leucoraja erinaceus (little skate) is the source of this 122-nucleotide long non-coding RNA. RefSeq lists it as uncharacterized. The record is from RefSeq and is a predicted model, not a curated record. NCBI's taxonomy places the organism in Eukaryota, Metazoa, Chordata, Chondrichthyes, Rajiformes, Rajidae. The transcript has 3 exons.
CAGCCGGAGAUAAAACUAACCAGGACAGAUCUUUGGAGAUAUGCACGACCAGGAACUUGAAGCGUUUGGCUCUCUCCACCACCGUCCCAUCGAUGAAGACAGAUGGUUCGACUGCCCCGACC